This 253-nucleotide ribosomal RNA is filed under the name uncultured bacterium. Its description in RNAcentral is "partial 16S ribosomal RNA". It matches the Rfam family "Bacterial small subunit ribosomal RNA", at positions 524 to 776 of the family's 1533-position model. The record is from RNAcentral.
UACGUAGGGUGCGAGCGUUGUCCGGAGUUAUUGGGCGUAAAGAGCUUGUAGGCGGUUUGUCGCGUCUGCCGUGAAAAUCCGAGGCUCAACCUCGGACUUGCGGUGGGUACGGGCAGACUAGAGUGUGGUAGGGGAGACUGGAAUUCCUGGUGUAGCGGUGAAAUGCGCAGAUAUCAGGAGGAACACCGAUGGCGAAGGCAGGUCUCUGGGCCACUACUGACGCUGAGAAGCGAAAGCAUGGGGAGCGAACAGG